This 82-nucleotide transfer RNA is filed under the name Puniceicoccales bacterium. RNAcentral describes it as "tRNA-Leu". It matches the Rfam family "tRNA". Rfam says of the family: Transfer RNA (tRNA) molecules are approximately 80 nucleotides in length. Lineage: Bacteria; Pseudomonadati; Verrucomicrobiota; Opitutia; Puniceicoccales. The record is from RNAcentral.
GCUCGGAUGGCGAAAUAGGCAGACGCGCUAGACUUAGGAUCUAGUGCCGCGAGGCGUGUGGGUUCGAAUCCCUCUCCGAGUA